GCACCACUAGCUCAGUUGGUAGAGCAGCUGACUCUUAAUCAGAAGGUCCGGGGUUCGACUCCCCGGUGGUGCACCA
RNAcentral lists this transfer RNA (76 nucleotides) under Clostridium sp. CAG:780. RNAcentral's name for it is "transfer RNA-Lys(CTT)". It matches the Rfam family "tRNA". From Rfam's summary of the family: Transfer RNA (tRNA) molecules are approximately 80 nucleotides in length. The record is from RNAcentral. Lineage: Bacteria; Bacillati; Bacillota; Clostridia; Eubacteriales; Clostridiaceae. RNAcentral also lists the same sequence under 1 other name.